Molecule: long non-coding RNA, 198 nt
Organism: Gopherus evgoodei (Goodes thornscrub tortoise)
Lineage: Eukaryota; Metazoa; Chordata; Testudines; Testudinidae
Exons: 3
Source: RefSeq, a predicted model, not a curated record
AGUACAUUACGCUGAGUAAAACUGCAGUCACUUGCUUCGUUGUCAACCUUUGCAAAACUCUGCUCGGAGUGCCAUUUAAAAGCAAAUAAAGCUGUUUGCUGACCGAUUGAAGUAGGGAAAGCGCCAUCUUCCGUACAUAAUCCAAACAAGAUUUAGGGGCCUGGCACAAUGGGGCCCCCGACCUGGCUGAGGUCUCUG